UACAGAGGGUGCGAGCGUUAAUCGGAAUUACUGGGCGUAAAGCGUGCGUAGACGGUUAUUUAAGUCGGAUGUGAAAGCCCCGGGCUCAACCUGGGAAUUGCAUUCGAGACUGAAUAGCUAGGGUGCGGUAGAGGGAAGCGGAAUUUCCGGUGUAGCGGUGAAAUGCGUAGAUAUCGUCUGGAACGCCAAAGGUGAAAACAGACUGCUGGGAGUGUGCUGACGCUGAGACACGAAAGCCAGGGGAGCAAACGGG
This 253-nucleotide ribosomal RNA is filed under the name uncultured bacterium. Its description in RNAcentral is "partial 16S ribosomal RNA". It matches the Rfam family "Bacterial small subunit ribosomal RNA", at positions 524 to 776 of the family's 1533-position model. The record is from RNAcentral.